ACUCCUACGGGAGGCAGCAGUGGGGAAUAUUGCACAAUGGGCGCAAGCCUGAUGCAGCCAUGCCGCGUGUGUGAAGAAGGCCUUCGGGUUGUAAAGCACUUUCAGUGGGAGGAAGGAUUGAUGGUUAAUACCUAUCAGCUGUGACGUUACCCACAGAAGAAGCACCGGCUAACUCCGUGCCAGCAGCCGCGUUAAUACGGAGGGUGCAAGCGUUAAUCGGAAUUACUGGGCGUAAAGCGUGCGCAGGCGGUCUGUUAAGCGAGAUGUGAAAG
This 272-nucleotide ribosomal RNA is filed under the name uncultured bacterium. Its description in RNAcentral is "partial 16S ribosomal RNA". It matches the Rfam family "Bacterial small subunit ribosomal RNA", at positions 335 to 600 of the family's 1533-position model. The record is from RNAcentral.